UACGUAGGGUGCAAGCGUUUGUCCGGAAUUAUUGGGCGUAAAGAGCUCGUAGGCGGUCUGUCGCGUCGGCUGUGAAAACCCGGAGCUCAACUCCGGGCCUGCAGUCGAUACGGGCAAACUGGAGUACUGCAGGGGAGACUGGAAUUCCUGGUGUAGCGGUGAAAUGCGCAGAUAUCAGGAGGAACACCGGUGGCGAAGGCGGGUCUCUGGGCCGAUAUUGACGCUGGAGGAGCGAAAGCGUGGGGAGCGAACAGG
RNAcentral lists this ribosomal RNA (255 nucleotides) under uncultured bacterium. Its description in RNAcentral is "partial 16S ribosomal RNA". It matches the Rfam family "Bacterial small subunit ribosomal RNA", at positions 524 to 776 of the family's 1533-position model. The record is from RNAcentral.